GUGCUCACUUCAGGAGCACAUAUGAUAAAAUCGGGAUGAUGCAGAAAUUCGUGUGCCCCCUGCAUAAAGAUGAUAUGUUAAGUUCAUGAAGUGUUGAACUUCAUA
Callithrix jacchus (white-tufted-ear marmoset) is the source of this 105-nucleotide small nuclear RNA. The record is from Ensembl. NCBI's taxonomy places the organism in Eukaryota, Metazoa, Chordata, Mammalia, Primates, Cebidae.